Myodes glareolus (Bank vole) is the source of this 1954-nucleotide non-coding RNA. Lineage: Eukaryota; Metazoa; Chordata; Mammalia; Rodentia; Cricetidae. The record is from RefSeq and is a predicted model, not a curated record.
ACCCGAGCCCGUAAACAUCACAUUUCUCCUGGCCUCCUAGAGCACAGGUCUCGCCUUCCAAGUGGAGUUCCCGCGUGCCAACUUUGACACAUCUUGUAACAAUAACUCCUGUGAGCUGCUUUUUAUGUGAUGUGAGACAGGUGUGCAACUGUUGAAUCCAUGUCUCCGGAGAGCUUAUUAAAGCGGCUAAGCCAAUUAACUCUCAGAGAAACACGCAACCUUUUCCAGGAAAAUACACCUGAGAAGCCCUACUGAAUUGGCCAUUCUCUGUCGAACAUUUGGUAGCUGAGCAAGUAAAACUGGAAGACAGACUGGUGUGAGGCUCUUACCAGGCUUGGAGCUCAGAGACCCCCCCCCCAGGAAGAGGAAUCAUUACGGGAGCACACCAAGGAGCCUGAUGCUCACAGCAGUCCAGUGCCUUUUCUCAGGUACCAAUGGAGAUGAGCCGCCUCGUAACAUCAGCAUCCGCUCUGAGUCAGAAGAAAUCAAGGCAAGACUCAAAGUGUCAUAACACAGCUCGCUGAAGCAACGAAGAUUGUCCAGGCCUCACCGAGAAGUCUGUGCAAUGUCCCAUCAGGAGUGGAAAAGGAAACAGAAGACACAAGAAGACAAAUAAAAUCCAGGCGUGUUUAGGAGACACACAUGGCACUUCACUUCAUCUUGCAGAGACAAAUGAGCACUUGUUAGGUCAUUCUCUGAUGCUGGAAGGCACCAGGGACGAGAGAAUGGACAACAGUGACCGUGACUCCCUCGGCGCUUUUUGGCAGAAAUGAAAGGAACUGGGGCAUUGCAGCCUGGGCUGGGCAGCCUACACUCAGAAAAACCUCAACAAGGACUAGACAGAGUAAGAAACAACAUACUUUCCAUCUAAUUAUUGUGAAGACGUCAAUCCAGAUCUUUGGCUAACGUCCAUGUAGGUUACCGAGGAAGCCUCGUUUUAGCCUCUUCUCUUCUCAUUGUUAGCUCUGUAACUGCUAACCAGGCAGUUUUACUAUGUCUAUUAACUGCUGAACUAUGGCUUGUAAGGAAGGGGUGAUGGCUCCUUCUUAGCCAUAGAGAGCUGCUCUGGAGGAGCGAUAAGAUAUUGUGCAGGGAUAUUGUCUUUGAGAUUCAUCACAUAUUCAGUGAUUCUACAUAAAUUAAGAUUCUCCUGGAUGAAGCAAAAACAGUUGCGUGUAAGACCACAGUAGGAGCUUUGAAAUAUAAACACUGCUCCUCUUCGGAUUUCCUCCCGCCUUGCCCUAACACUGGCUUCUAUGGCGAUCCCUAACACCCUUGACAGAUCUGGGUGCAAACAAGGCACGUGGAUGUUGGUGUGUGGGGGGGAUGCCAACUAUACAGAUGGUGCUUUCCAAAAGCUUAAAAUACCAUGAAAGGUGGCUACGCUGUACUGUGUCAGUAUUCAUCUUGGUGGUCCUUAGUCCAGUGACCAGUCAGCUGUCAUACCCUCCUGUGCCUGCGCAGGCAAUCUUUUGCAUUCAUUGAUGGUAAUGUUUCUAAAAGUAUUCUCAAUGUGCAGCUAAGUCUUCUUUUUGUUACAGACCUUGCCAUUGCAGGCUUAAAUCUGAACUGGACUCUGACACGAGUCUAGAUUGGCCUGUACAUCCUUAGUCUAGCAUCCAACUUCAUGACCCCAGUUGGGUCUCUAAUUCAGAUAAAGGCAUAACCCCUAAACUUGUGUGUUAUGGGUUGAGCCAUAAAUGGUUCCCGUAGAUCCAUGCUUUUAAUGCUUGUUCCCAAGGCACUAUUUGGGGAUGCUGAGGAACCCUUAGGAGAUAGGACCUAGCCGACAGUAGUAGGUCACUAAGAGUAGGCCUUUGACAGUUACAGUCUGGUCUCGGGGUCCAGUCUUGCUGUCUGUCCCUGAUCCACUGUGAUGUGAAUGGUUGCUCUCUGUCACAGGCUCCAUGAACCACAGUAUUAUAUUCAAGUGCACGAUGCCAUGUGACUGUAG